GCGACAAAUCAGGUGGUUGCCAGCUUGGUCUCCCGUGGUAAGCUUGGGGACCAGGGCUUCUGCUUUCUCCUGCUUCCCAGCUACGAGGUUGCCCCUUGUGACCCAGCUCCAUAAUACCUUCCUACCCUCAGCACCCUGGCUCUGAACUGCUGUCAUUUGCUUUUUAAAGUCUGCAUUUGUGGCAUGCCCUGACUUCAGCAUCUCUUCUCUCAAGGACACUGACAUGUAGUGGGUCUUAUUAUUAUGGUAGCUUGGGCUGUCCUGACCUUAAACUCUCUAUGUAGCCCAGGUUGGCUUUCAACUGCACUGCUCCUGCUUCAGGCAAACUCUGAGUAGUGGAGUUACAGGUACGACUCUCGUGCUCAGCAAUGUCUUACAGUUCUCUGUCACAAA
Molecule: non-coding RNA, 393 nt
Organism: Arvicanthis niloticus (Nile rat)
Lineage: Eukaryota; Metazoa; Chordata; Mammalia; Rodentia; Muridae
Source: RefSeq, a predicted model, not a curated record